CCCGCACAAGCGGUAGAGCAUGUGGUUUAAUUCGAUGCAACGCGAAGAACCUUACCUGGGCUUGACAUCCCAAGAAUCCCCUGGAAACAGGGAGUGCCCUUCGGGAGCUUGGAGACAGGUGCUGCAUGGCUGUCGUCAGCUCGUGUCGUGAGAUGUUGGGUUAAGUCCCGCAACGAGCGCAACCCUUGCCUUUAGUUGCCAUCAUUCAGCUGGGCACUCUAGAGGGACUGCCGGUGUCAAACCGGAGGAAGGUGGGGAUGACGUCAGGUCCUCAUGGCCUUUAUGCCCAGGGCUACACACGUGCUACAAUGGCCGGUACAGACGGAGGCGAAGCCGCGAGGCGGAGCAAAACCGAAAAAGCCGGUCUCAGUUCGGAUUGCAGGCUGCAAUUCGCCUGCAUGAAGUCGGAAUCGCUAGUAAUCGCAGGUCAGCAUACUGCGGUGAAUACGUUCCCGGGCCUU
This 461-nucleotide ribosomal RNA is filed under the name uncultured Syntrophaceae bacterium. RNAcentral's name for it is "bacterial SSU rRNA". It matches the Rfam family "Bacterial small subunit ribosomal RNA", at positions 920 to 1382 of the family's 1533-position model. The record is from RNAcentral. Lineage: Bacteria; Pseudomonadati; Thermodesulfobacteriota; Syntrophia; Syntrophales; Syntrophaceae.